This 77-nucleotide transfer RNA is filed under the name Nocardioides terrae. Its description in RNAcentral is "tRNA_Leu_TAA". It matches the Rfam family "tRNA". From Rfam's summary of the family: Transfer RNA (tRNA) molecules are approximately 80 nucleotides in length. Their secondary structure includes four short double-helical elements and three loops (D, anti-codon, and T loops). Further hydrogen bonds mediate the characteristic L-shaped molecular structure. tRNAs have two regions of fundamental functional importance: the anti-codon, which is responsible for specific mRNA codon recognition, and the 3' end, to which the tRNAs corresponding amino acid is attached (by aminoacyl-tRNA synthetases). tRNAs cope with the degeneracy of the genetic code in two manners: having more than one tRNA (with a specific anti-codon) for a particular amino acid; and 'wobble' base-pairing, i.e. permitting non-standard base-pairing at the 3rd anti-codon position. The record is from RNAcentral. Lineage: Bacteria; Bacillati; Actinomycetota; Actinomycetes; Propionibacteriales; Nocardioidaceae.
GCCCCCGUAUCCCAAUCGGCAGAGGAAUCCGCCUUAAAAGCGGAAGAGUCUGGGUUCGAGUCCCAGCGGGGGCACCA